This is a long non-coding RNA of Lagenorhynchus albirostris (white-beaked dolphin), 336 nucleotides long. RefSeq lists it as uncharacterized. Lineage: Eukaryota; Metazoa; Chordata; Mammalia; Artiodactyla; Delphinidae. The record is from RefSeq and is a predicted model, not a curated record. The transcript is spliced from 4 exons.
UACAGAAAUGAACACAACAACAGAGAAAAUUGACAAAGUAGAAUAGACGUUUAGAGAAAUGGCAGGUUUCAGUGAAGAAAUCCAGGUGCAGCCAUUGGCAUUCUCCCUGGCAUCUUCAUCAUGAAUGGAUCCUUACAAGACAAGAAGCCUGGAAGAAAAGGUGACAAGUGCCCAGGAUCAGGCCUGUGCCAUUUCCAGGAGAGCAGAACAAUCCUAUAUUCACCACAUCAGUCAACAUUCAUGCACUCUGGGGAAGAGACUGGUGGCUUGGAAGGUGAUGCUGAGGUGAGGAAUCUGAGGCAGAGAGAGCAACUUUCUCAGAAUCACACAGCAAGU